This 459-nucleotide ribosomal RNA is filed under the name uncultured bacterium. Its description in RNAcentral is "partial 16S ribosomal RNA". It matches the Rfam family "Bacterial small subunit ribosomal RNA", at positions 339 to 795 of the family's 1533-position model. The record is from RNAcentral.
CUACGGGAGGCUCCAGUAAGGAAUAUUGCGCAAUGGAGGCAACUCUGACGCAGCCAUGCCGCGUGCAGGAAGAAGGCCUUAUGGGUCGUAAACUGCUUUUAUUUAGGAAUAAACCCCCGAACGUGUUCGGGGCUGAAGGUACUAAACGAAUAAGCACCGGCUAACUCCGUGCCAGCAGCCGCGGUAAUACGGAGGGUGCAAGCGUUAUCCGGAUUUAUUGGGUUUAAAGGGUGCGCAGGCGGGCUAUUAAGUCAGUGGUGAAAUCCCGGGGCUCAACUCCGGAACUGGCAUUGAUACUGAUAGUCUUGAGUUUGGUUGAAGUGGGCGGAAUGUAGCAUGUAGCGGUGAAAUGCAUAGAUAUGCUACAGAACACCAAUCGCGAAGGCAGCUCACUAAGCCAAAACUGACGCUCAUGCACGAAAGCGUGGGGAUCAAACAGGAUUAGAUACCCGAGUAGUC